GCAUAUCAAUAAGCGGAGGAAAAGAAACCAACAGGGAUUGCCUUAGUAGCGGCGAGUGAAGCGGCAAAAGCUCAAAUUUGAAAUCUGGCGCCUUCGGUGUCCGAGUUGUAAUUUGAAGAUUGUAACCUUGGGGUUGGCUCUUGUCUAUGUUUCUUGGAACAGGACGUCACAGAGGGUGAGAAUCCCGUGCGAUGAGAUGCCCAAUUCUAUGUAAGGUGCUUUCGAAGAGUCGAGUUGUUUGGGAAUGCAGCUCUAAGUGGGUGGUAAAUUCCAUCUAAAGCUAAAUAUUGGCGAGAGACCGAUAGCGAACAAGUACAGUGAUGGAAAGAUGAAAAGAACUUUGAAAAGAGAGUGAAAAAGUACGUGAAAUUGUUGAAAGGGAAGGGUUUGAGAUCAGACUCGAUAUUUUGUGAGCCUUGCCUUCGUGGCGGGGUGACCCGCAGCUUAUCGGGCCAGCAUCGGUUUGGGCGGUAGGAUAAUGGCGUAGGAAUGUGACUUUACUUCGGUGAAGUGUUAUAGCCUGCGUUGAUGCUGCCUGCCUAGACCGAGGACUGCGAUUUUAUCAAGGAUGCUGGCAUAAUGAUCCCAAACCGCCCGUCUUGAACCACCGGACCA
RNAcentral lists this ribosomal RNA (615 nucleotides) under Meyerozyma guilliermondii. Its description in RNAcentral is "eukaryotic LSU rRNA". It matches the Rfam family "Eukaryotic large subunit ribosomal RNA", at positions 38 to 668 of the family's 3401-position model. Lineage: Eukaryota; Fungi; Ascomycota; Pichiomycetes; Serinales; Debaryomycetaceae. The record is from RNAcentral.